RNAcentral lists this ribosomal RNA (404 nucleotides) under uncultured bacterium. RNAcentral describes it as "bacterial SSU rRNA". It matches the Rfam family "Bacterial small subunit ribosomal RNA", at positions 356 to 773 of the family's 1533-position model. The record is from RNAcentral.
UAGGAAUAUUGCGCAAUGGGGGAAACCCUGACGCAGCGACGCCGCGUGGGUGAUGAAGGCCUUCGGGUUGUAAAGCCCUUUCGACGGGAACGAAAAAAAUGACGGUACCCGUAGAAGAAGCACCGGCCAACUUCGUGCCAGCAGCCGCGGUAAUACGAAGGGUGCCAGCGUUAUUCGGAAUUACUGGGCGUAAAGAGCGCGUAGGCGGUUCUGUAAGUUUGAUGUGAAAGCCCGGGGCUCAACCCCGGAACUGCAUUGAAUACUGCAAGACUAGAGUAUAGGAGAGGAAAGCGGAAUUCCUGGUGUAGAGGUGAAAUUCGUAGAUAUCAGGAGGAACAACAGAGGCGAAGGCGGCUUUCUAGACUAUAACUGACGCUGAGGCCGCGAAAGCGUGGGUAGCAAAC